GAAAAUCCGUCGACUUUUAAAAUCGUGAGGGUUCAAGUCCCUCUAUCCCCAAAAG
This 55-nucleotide transfer RNA is filed under the name Aizoanthemopsis hispanica. RNAcentral describes it as "Aizoanthemum hispanicum partial tRNA-Leu". The record is from RNAcentral. Lineage: Eukaryota; Viridiplantae; Streptophyta; Magnoliopsida; Caryophyllales; Aizoaceae. RNAcentral also lists the same sequence under 3 other names.